CAAGGUUUCCGUAGGUGAACCUGCGGAAGGAUCAUUGUCGAAACCUGCCCAGCAGAACGACCCGUGAACAUGUGAACCCAAGUUCAGUGGUAAGUCAAGUGGGGAGCGAUCUCCCUUGCCUUACCGCUCGGUCGGGGAGUCGGUUAAACCCCCUCUCCUUGUGCCGAAAAACGAACCCAAGGCGCGGCAAGCGCCAAGGAACAAACAAACGGAUGUCUAGCGCGUCUACCCGCUUUCUCUUGCUUAGGCAGGAGAACAGCGGUGGACGUAGCGAGAUCCGAUCUUCGAACGACUCUCGGCAACGGAUAUCUCGGCUCUCGCAUCGAUGAAGAACGUAGCGAAAUGCGAUACUUGGUGUGAAUUGCAGAAUCCCGUGAACCAUCGAGUUUUUGAACGCAAGUUGCGCCCCAAGCCUUCGGGCCGAGGGCACGCUUGCCUGGGCGUCACGCACCGAGUCACCCCCUUCAGCUCCUUUCUUUGCGUCUUCUGGCGACAUUGAUAUCAGAGAGUGGAAGGGGGCGGAGAUUGACCCCCCGUGCCUUGCGGUGCGGUCGGUCUAAAUAAAGGCCCUGGGAGGCCAGCGUCACGAUUCGUGGUGGUCGACACUUGUUGUCUCUCCUCAUUCCGAAAUCCGUGUGCGUUGUGCCGCCGUGAAGGACCACAAGGACCCCAUCGGGCCGUUAAUGCGGCACCCACUCUGCGACCCCAGUCAAGCGGGACUACCCGCUGAAUUUAAGCAUAUC
Molecule: ribosomal RNA, 743 nt
Filed under: Papaver nudicaule (Iceland poppy)
Lineage: Eukaryota; Viridiplantae; Streptophyta; Magnoliopsida; Ranunculales; Papaveraceae
Description: eukaryotic LSU rRNA
Rfam family: 5.8S ribosomal RNA (bases 291-446)
Source: RNAcentral